RNAcentral lists this ribosomal RNA (371 nucleotides) under uncultured bacterium. RNAcentral's name for it is "partial 16S ribosomal RNA". It matches the Rfam family "Bacterial small subunit ribosomal RNA", at positions 529 to 904 of the family's 1533-position model. The record is from RNAcentral.
AAGUGGCAGACGUUAUUCGGAUUACUGGGCGUACAGGGAGCGUAGGCGGUUYGGUAAGYCCUMUGUGAAAUCYUUAGGCUUAACCUGGAAAUUCGGAUGGGACUGCCGGGCUWGAGGACGGNAGAGGAGCGCGGAAUUCCCGGUGUAGCGGUGAAAUGCGUAGAKAUCGGGAGGAACGCCGGUGGCGAAGGCGGCCCUCUGGAACGUUUCUGACGCUGAGGCUCGAAAGCGUGGGGAGCAAACAGGAUUAGAUACCCUGGUAGUCCACGCCUUAAACUAUGAAUACUAAGUGUCGGCGGGUUACCGCCGGUGCCGCAGCUAACKCAUUAAGUAUUCCGCCUGGGAAGUACGGCCGCACGGUUGAAACUCAC